RNAcentral lists this ribosomal RNA (502 nucleotides) under Brachyspira hampsonii bv. I. RNAcentral's name for it is "bacterial SSU rRNA". It matches the Rfam family "Bacterial small subunit ribosomal RNA", at positions 1 to 523 of the family's 1533-position model. The record is from RNAcentral. Lineage: Bacteria; Pseudomonadati; Spirochaetota; Spirochaetia; Brachyspirales; Brachyspiraceae.
UGGAGAGUUUGAUCCUGGCUCAGAGCGAACGUUGGCGAUGCGUCUUAAGCAUGCAAGUCGAGCGGGCUUAUUCGGGCAACUGGAUAAGUUAGCGGCGAACUGGUGAGUAACACGUAGGUAAUCUGCCGUAGAGCGGGGGAUAACCCAUGGAAACAUGGACUAAUACCGCAUAUACUCUUGCUACACAAGUAGAGUAGAGGAAAGGAGUAAUCCGCUUUACGAUGAGCCUGCGGCCUAUUAGCCUGUUGGUGGGGUAAUGGCCUACCAAAGCUACGAUAGGUAGCCGACCUGAGAGGGUGACCGGCCACAUUGGGACUGAGAUACGGCCCAGACUCCUACGGGAGGCAGCAGCUGAGAAUCUUCCACAAUGGACGAAAGUCUGAUGGAGCGACAUCGCGUGAGGGAUGAAGGCCUUCGGGUUGUAAACCUCGGAAAUUAUCGAAGAAUGAGUGACAGUAGAUAAUGUAAGCCUCGGCUAACUACGUGCCAGCAGCCGCGGUAA